CGCCGCGCGGCGCCCGGCCCGGGGCACCGGCGGUCCCGUCCUGCCUGACACGGCUUAGUCCCUCUAAUCGGCUCCGAGGCUGAUUGCGGCGAAGCAUCCAAACCAAGGGAAAGUUAGUUUGUUGUAAUUACGAGAGAAAUAACCCAUCUGGGCUUCCGUUUUUCACUCUCCCUUGCCCCAGCGUGCCGCUGGUGAGGGUGACAGUGUGGCAGGAGGAGGCGCAGCAGCGCUGGGAACUUGCUGCUUUCACCUUCCUGUGCUUUCAUUUUAUUUCAUUUUGUUUUUAAAAGCAUGAAGCAAGUGAAGCGACAAGAGGAAUCCAUUAUGCAAAUCAGGUCACAUUUGCAUAAUGUCUCAUGACUGGAAUAUGCAAAUGAGUUGUAUAAUUUAUGAGUGCCAGUGUCUGUCUAAAAGUGUUUCCCAGAAUUUAUAAAAACUGCAGCAUGGAGAGGCAGCUGCUGGCUGCCCUGCCAGGAGGGUCCACACUCGCUUUGCAAAGUCCGCUUGAGUCUGGGAGUGCAAACGUCUGGGAAUGAGAACGGAGCCCCCCUUCCCACCCUGUCCUCUUGCUUUAUUUAUUUCUCAUUACUCCCUCCACCAAGCUCCCCACCUGCUCCCCUUGAACUUCUCUGAGGAUGCAGGGCUUGGGCCAGGGCACCGGGCUGGAUGGCUGGGCGGCUGGGCAGUCCCACAGGUGGCUCAGUCUGGGCUUGCUCGUGUCCCUUGGGGCUGUCACCAGACGCAGAGCCCUGCACUCUUCAGGUAAGUGAGCUCAUAGGCACGAUGUGCCCUGAGGAGCCGCUUGGAGCCCCUCACGACUCCCACAGUGGGAUUCCUGCUGGUUUGCUCUGCGCCAGGUCCAGUCCCUGCGCGGCUUUGAGCCCCAUGACCCUGGGGAGAGCUGCAGGGCUGUCACUGCCCACGGAGGGACCCCGAGUGUCCUGUCCAACGCCACAGCGUUUGGUGCCAGCACUGGAAAGGUCUCUGGAAUAUCCGGACAUUCAGGACAGGUGCCAGGCGAGGACGGCUUCACAGGAGCACUCAUCCUGGCCAAGGCUGGGAGGAGAGCCACAGCCAUCAGAGAGAACUGGGUUACAGCAGACAUUACAUCCUCGGGGGCUCGCCUGCCUUGUGCGAGUGUGGUGCCAAUGCCCCUGCAGUGCCACAGGGCUGGCUGUGGCUUCCUUCAGCUGGAUGCUCAAGAGCAGAGGAUCUAUCAACUGCAGACCAAGCGGAGGGAGAGGCAGGCAGACCUGGAGCAGAAAUGAAGCCAGAGAAGCAGCUCAGCCAGGACCUGGGGGCCAGCCACCAGCUACGGAAAGGAGCUUGGAGCAGCUUGUUCCAGGAGAAGACAGUGCAAUUUGGUGA
RNAcentral lists this long non-coding RNA (1368 nucleotides) under Chloebia gouldiae (Gouldian finch). RNAcentral describes it as "Erythrura gouldiae (Gouldian finch) lncRNA (ENSEGOG00005016577.1)". Lineage: Eukaryota; Metazoa; Chordata; Aves; Passeriformes; Passeridae. The record is from RNAcentral.